Eubalaena glacialis (North Atlantic right whale) is the source of this 402-nucleotide non-coding RNA. The record is from the annotation of a RefSeq genome assembly. NCBI's taxonomy places the organism in Eukaryota, Metazoa, Chordata, Mammalia, Artiodactyla, Balaenidae.
AUGGCCUGGGCUCUGCUCCUUGUCACCCUCCUCACUCAGGGCACAGGGUCCUGGGCCCAGUCUGGCCUGACUCAGCCUCCCUCAGUGUCCGGGAAUCCGGGACAGACGGUCACCAUCUCCUGUGCUGGAACCAGCAGUGACAUAGGGAAAUAUAAUGCUGUCAGCUGGUACCAACAGCUCCCAGGCAUGGCCCCCAAAACCCUGAUUUAUAAUGUCAAUAAACGGCCCUCAGGGAUCCCUGACCGCUUCUCUGGGUCCAAGUCUGGGAACACGGCCUCCCUGACCAUCUCUGGGCUCCAGGCUGAGGACGAGGCUGAUUAUUACUGUAGCUCAGGUAGCAGUGAUGAAGCAUCAUUUCUGUAUGGGUCUGGGCAGGUGUUCCUGGAUGAGAUGAGCAUUUGA